RNAcentral lists this ribosomal RNA (471 nucleotides) under uncultured organism. Its description in RNAcentral is "partial 16S ribosomal RNA". It matches the Rfam family "Bacterial small subunit ribosomal RNA", at positions 334 to 797 of the family's 1533-position model. The record is from RNAcentral.
CACUCCUGCGGGAGGCAGCAGUGGGGAAUUUUGGACAAUGGGCGAAAGCCUGAUCCAGCAAUGCCGCGUGAGUGAAGAAGGCCUUCGGGUUGUAAAGCUCUUUUGUCAGGGAAGAAACGGUGAAAGCUAAUAUCUUUUGCUAAUGACGGUACCUGAAGAAUAAGCACCGGCUAACUACGUGCCAGCAGCCGCGGUAAUACGUAGGGUGCAAGCGUUAAUCGGAAUUACUGGGCGUAAAGCGUGCGCAGGCGGUUUUGUAAGUCUGAUGUGAAAUCCCCGGGCUCAACCUGGGAAUUGCAUUGGAGACUGCAAGGCUAGAAUCUGGCAGAGGGGGGUAGAAUUCCACGUGUAGCAGUGAAAUGCGUAGAUAUGUGGAGGAACACCGAUGGCGAAGGCAGCCCCCUGGGUCAAGAUUGACGCUCAUGCACGAAAGCGUGGGGAGCAAACAGGAUUAGAAACCCUAGUAGUCCC